UUUCGGCUGUCCAAAAGUCGGAGUUACUGAAGAGGCACACCAUCAUUGCCGGCAGUGCGGAACGGGAUCCUCCCAUUUCCAAGCCAAGGCAGACAAAGCGAAUUUUUGACCGGGCAAGGUCAAGGAUUCACCGCCGCGAGACGGCGUUUCCUGGUU
Molecule: regulatory RNA element, 156 nt
Organism: Mesorhizobium sp. Root157
Lineage: Bacteria; Pseudomonadati; Pseudomonadota; Alphaproteobacteria; Hyphomicrobiales; Phyllobacteriaceae
Rfam family: speF leader
About the family: This family is a putative regulatory RNA structure that is found upstream of the speF gene encoding ornithine decarboxylase in Agrobacterium tumefaciens and other alpha-proteobacteria.
Source: Rfam